Long non-coding RNA from Brassica oleracea var. oleracea, 247 nucleotides. RefSeq lists it as uncharacterized. The record is from RefSeq and is a predicted model, not a curated record. The transcript is spliced from 3 exons. NCBI's taxonomy places the organism in Eukaryota, Viridiplantae, Streptophyta, Magnoliopsida, Brassicales, Brassicaceae.
GUCGCUACUCGCCAUGGCGAGCGAAGCGGUCGCCUUUUAAAACCAAGUACUUGACACAGGAAAUUCGGUCGAUCAUCAUCAGGGGUGUUUGAUAGGACGACCAUAAGGAAGCAAAUAAAUAUUGAAGUCAGACCAGGCCAAUUACUGAUGCCACGAACAUGGAUCAUGGAAGAUGGUUACAGCUAACGGGUGAAAAACACAAAUACAUACAGAAGAUCACUUCCCAUGUCCGUAAAGGUUAGUACAA